Molecule: ribosomal RNA, 447 nt
Filed under: uncultured bacterium
Lineage: Bacteria
Description: bacterial SSU rRNA
Rfam family: Bacterial small subunit ribosomal RNA
Source: RNAcentral
CGAACGCUGGCGGCAGGCUUAACACAUGCAGGUCGAACGCGUGUAGCAAUACACGAGUGGCGCACGGGUGAGUAACGCGUGGAUAUCUGCCUUUUGGUUCGGAAUAACUCCGGGAAACUGGAGCUAAUACCGGAUGGUUCCUACGGGAUAAAGAUUUAUCGCCAAAAGAUGAGUCCGCGUACGAUUAGCUAGUUGGUGAGGUAAUGGCUCACCAAGGCGACGAUCGUUAGCUGGUCUGAGAGGACGAUCAGCCACACUGGGACUGAGACACGGCCCAGACUCCUACGGGAGGCAGCAGUGGGGAAUUUUUCCGCAAUGGGCGAAAGCCUGACGGAGCAAUACCGCGUGAGGGAUGAAAGCCUGUGGGUUGUAAACCCUCUUUUUUACAGGGGAGGAAUAAAUUGACGUGUACCUGAAGAAUAAGCAUCGGCUAACUCCGUGCCAGCA